GCAUAUUUUAGCAUAAGACAAAAGCAUGAAAACAUGUCCCAUUAUGCAGAAUAUAAAACUGCCAAGGCAAAGCGACAGGGAUUGAAUUAAAAAAAAAUAAUAAUAAGCAAAUACAGCUAGAAACUUCAUCUAUCAGCAUCUCUAGUGCCCAUAAUGGUAAGAUGGACAAAAGAUUGAUUGUCACUAUUCACAUGCCUCUCUGGGUUUCAUGGGUUUUCCAUGUGCUCCUCCACAAAUGCAUACAAAAUUCCUUUUUUUAUCUCCUGAAGAGAUGAUUAAAUAACUGCAAUUACAUUCUCUUUUGUGUCUUAUUCUAUUAAAAAAAUGCAAAUAAACUGCAAUCAACAUUGCAGAAUAUGUUCAACAGAAUCUACAACACCUUUUCACUAGAAAUUAAAUAUGGUUACAACUUAAGCAAGAGCUUCUCUAAAGUCUAAAGCUUUUUUUUGUGGUCCCGCGGUGGGGUGGGGGGGUGGUGGGGGUGUGUGGGGGCGAGGGGGUGGUGUGGUGUGGUGUGAGGGGGGCAGAUGGGAAUAAGAAAAACUUGAGAGGAAAAACAUAGAGAAGACUCUAAUAUUUGAGCUCUGAUAUUUGAGAUUGAGACACAAAGUGCAAAAACUUUGAUACCACUUAGGUAAAAUAUACAGUGAAAAAGAAGCUAAUAAAAGGGAAAAAAAAUUCAUUCAAGAAUGCCAUAAUCCACUCAACAUGCUUCGGAAUCUAUUUUUAGAGAGCUUCCUGACAAGUCUUUUAGCAUCUGAGACUUCAGCCUCUGCAAGUUUCUCAAUGUUCUUCAAAUAACCAGAAUUGACAAUUUUUCUUCUUCCAUUGUUGCUACUUGUCAAUGAAAUUAAUAUAGAUAUCAAGAAUUUUUUAUUAUUACCUGAAUUUGCUUCUUCUUGAUCAAGCAAUUGAAGAAGAAAGCCAAUGUUGCGAUCAUCCUGCACGAAUAUUUUUCGAUUUUUAGGCACUGAAACCAUGCCAGUGAGUGCCUCAGAUGCCAUUUCUCUAACUUCAAAUGAUUUUGCAUCAAGAAAUCUAACAAACUCAGACAUGAAACCAGCAUCGCCCAUUGCUUUCUUAGCGUCCUCUGAUGUUCCAGAUAGCCUAUAUGCCACUUUUAAUGCCAAUUCCUGAACUGAAACAUCUCCAUUUCGAAGAAAGAAAAGCAGCCGAUCCAUAAAUCCAUAGCUUGUCAAUAUAUUAAUAUAAGUUUUGGAAGAGAAGCAUAAAUUCUCAAUUGCUCUUAAUGCUACCUCUCGGGAUUUGAAAGUCGAUGAAAUUUUUGGAUCGAGAAGGUAUACUAAUGAGCGGAUUCCACCUUCUCUCACCACCAUUUGUCUAACUGAUUCGUCUCCAGAAGCAAUAUUCUGCAGGAAUUCAAUUGAACUUAUCUGCACGGCCUCAUCUCUUGAUCUUGCAAGCUUGAUAAAUCUAGAAACAACACCUUCUUCAAUCAUAAAUCUCUUUAUUUCUUCAACACCAACAAGGUUUCUCAAUACCCCACAAGCUGGACCAAUGAGUUCUCCUCUAGAAUCACCACUAGCGCAUAUUUUUAAUAGAGCUGUGACACCACCAUGAGCUGAAACUGACCAAGCAUUAUCGGAAUUCUCGGUCAAUUUCUGUAAACUUCUCGCAGCAGCCUCUUUUCCCAAUUCACUGCCACUUUCCAAGACCCGAACCAAAGGCCCCAUAACCCCAGAUCCAAUCAGUACGGACUUACAAGGAUCAAACCCAGAAAUCAAUGAAACCAUCUUCGCGGCCUCUUCUUGAAUUCCAAUAUCAGGUGAGUCGAGAAGAUUAACCAAUAAAUGCACAAUGUCAUCAACUUCAACAAUUACCCUGAAAGACCUCUCAUCUUCCACAACAACUUCAUGUAAAUUGACCAAAGCUUGCCUCUUCAUUUCUGUGUCGCCAAUCUUCAUUCUUGUCAACAGAUCCCUCACAUAAAACCUCAUAUCAUCUUUGCAAGCGUUGAGUCCAGGCUUAGACACAACAAUAGCAAAACCCUGAGUCAAAACACCUGCAGUGCAAAUCCCAGAUAGAUUCUUCAAGAGGCGAUCAAAUUUUGCCGCCAUUACAUCCAAAUCACUCUGCAUCAAGAGCUUGCCACUGUACGAAAGAUCCACACAUCUUCGAGCAAGAUCGUAGCAGUUGUUUGCAGCGACUAAUAUGGCAGACACGAGGCCUGAAAGUAUUGGGUUUUGGUUGGAAUCGCAAUUCUCGAUGGCGAUUAGGCCUGUAUUUAGCUCUUCUAACUUGUUCCUUAGCAUUUUCCAUUUUACCGCAAAAACUCUUAUUCCAUGAGAGAAGGAGAUCAAAGAAGAUACAACCUCAAUAGCUUGCCUAGGACUGGACGUUGAUGAAGAUGCAGCGGAGCUCUGGUCUUGUCUUGGAUUAUCCUGUCUCAUUUUUUUGUGUUUUAUCAAUGAUUUUGAAGCAAACCCAUGAAGUAUCUACGAAAUGCAGAAUCUAAGGGGAUGAUUUUACCAUGGAGACAGAGAGACACAGAGGAAUUGGCCGCACAUUUAUCUAUUAUCUCAUCAUCUGUGUUUAUCUUCUGACUAGCAGGUCGCAGCAACUGAAUUGGAAGUAAU
This 2597-nucleotide unclassified non-coding RNA is filed under the name Hevea brasiliensis (rubber tree). The record is from RNAcentral. Lineage: Eukaryota; Viridiplantae; Streptophyta; Magnoliopsida; Malpighiales; Euphorbiaceae.